RNAcentral lists this ribosomal RNA (253 nucleotides) under uncultured bacterium. RNAcentral describes it as "partial 16S ribosomal RNA". It matches the Rfam family "Bacterial small subunit ribosomal RNA", at positions 524 to 776 of the family's 1533-position model. The record is from RNAcentral.
UACGUAGGUGGCAAGCGUUGUCCGGAAUUAUUGGGCGUAAAGCGCGCGCAGGUGGUUUCUUAAGUCUGAUGUGAAAGCCCACGGCUCAACCGUGGAGGGUCAUUGGAAACUGGGGAACUUGAGUGCAGGAGAGAAGAGUGGAAUUCCACGUGUAGCGGUGAAAUGCGUAGAUAUCUGGAGGAAUACCGGUGGCGAAGGCGGCAUCCUGGACCAUUACUGACGCUGAGGCGCGAAAGCUAGGGGAGCAAACGGG